UAAAGCUGUGGUGUGUGCGAUGCCAUCAUCCCGAGCUCUUCCCUUUGCUUGCGGAAGUACCUGAAACCAAGACUGAAACUGUAAGCACGAAGCUUAGUGAGCUCCCCCAAACUACCACAUACCACAUAAUAACAUAUAAGCACAUACUGGGCCUUGCCCACUGCAUCGGACCGAAGUCCGGGCUAACUGGGGCCUUGCCCCCUACAUCGGACCGAAGUCCGAAGCUGACUAGGACCUUUGUCCCCUACAUCGGACCAAAGUCCGAAGCUGACUGGGAACUCUGUCCCCUACAUCGGACCGGAGUCCGAAGCUGACUGGGACCUCUCUCCCAUACAUCGGACCGAAGUCCGAAGCUGACUGGGACCUUCGUCCCCUACAUCGGACCGAAGUCCGAAGCUGACUGAUCAUAGCAUAAACAUAUCAACUAGCAUAAACACAUAAAUCCUGUCUGAGCCACGGAGGCGUCAAACAUACUAGCUGUUGCGAUGGACCGAAGUCCAGAAACUACGGCUAACUGAACGAGUCGGCAUUAUGGCCUUAGACCCGUUCCUACUGAAAGGAAACUCACCUCGUGAACUGGCUGCUGUGUGAAUGGCUCUAGAAGCUAACUGCUGCUGCUCCGGUAUCUCCCCGGCUACAAGUCCAUAAACACACUCAAUCAAAUGCUAAACACUGCACUGGGGUAAAAUGACUCUUUUACCCUUGGUCAAAGUCAACUCUCUCGGUCAAAGUCAACCCACAGUUGACCUGACUCGCCGAGUUGGGCCGCCAACUCGCCGAGUCUCUAGUCUCACUUCUCAACCCUACUCGUGGCUACUCGUCGAGUAUGGCAUCGACUCGACGAGUACCCUCUCGAUCCAAGAACUCAGACAAUCUUCAUCCGACUCGCCGAGUCAUAUGAACAACUCGACGAGUUGUUCUUCAAUCUAAGAAGAUUGCCUUGGACUCGCCGAGUUGUAUGAACAACUCGUCGAGUCCCUCCAUUACUGAGUCUGCCCUCCAACUCACUGAGUCCACUCUACUACUCACAGGCUUCCACUCGACAUCACUCAAAAAGGGGAAAAACGGGACUCGCGACUUGACUCGCCGAGUCGUUCUUCCGACUCGCCGAGUCACAUCCAUGCAACUACUCUAAACUCGAUUCUGCUUGAAUCCAGCGUCUGAAACUUAUAGAUCUGGGCUUCCUUAACUCGAUUAGCACGUAAAGAUUCUAUCUUUACGUGCCCAUAAGCGACCAAGAAGAUAAUAAGGCUCAAAAAGCAUAAUAAAGGCUAGAUCUAGGGUUCUUAUGCAAAGCAUCUUCAAAAAGGCAAUAGAUCCGGGCUCUACAACUCCUAAAUGAACAGAUCUAGGGAUAUCUCGACCUAUUAAGGCAUCCAUACAACUAUAAGGCUUGGAAAAUGCAUCAAACUAGCCCUAGAAGAGUUCUAAUGGAGGUCUAAAGCAUAAAACAGAAGGAAUCCGAGAAAUACCUCAAUGAACUCUGAUUUUGCCCUUGGAUCUUUGCUCUACACCUCUUCUCUUUGCUCCUUUCUUCUUCUUCUUCUUCAAGCCUUCAAAAUCCACACAA
Molecule: long non-coding RNA, 1570 nt
Filed under: Lactuca sativa (garden lettuce)
Lineage: Eukaryota; Viridiplantae; Streptophyta; Magnoliopsida; Asterales; Asteraceae
Description: long non-coding RNA (LSAT_LNC007593)
Source: RNAcentral